UACGGAGGGUGCAAGCGUUAAUCGGAAUUACUGGGCGUAAAGCGCACGCAGGCGGUUGGAUAAGUUAGAUGUGAAAGCCCCGGGCUCAACCUGGGAAUUGCAUUUAAAACUGUCCGGCUAGAGUCUUGUAGAGGGGGGUAGAAUUCCAGGUGUAGCGGUGAAAUGCGUAGAGAUCUGGAGGAAUACCGGUGGCGAAGGCGGCCCCCUGGACAAAGACUGACGCUCAGGUGCGGAAGCGUGGGGAGCAAACAGG
RNAcentral lists this ribosomal RNA (253 nucleotides) under uncultured bacterium. Its description in RNAcentral is "partial 16S ribosomal RNA". It matches the Rfam family "Bacterial small subunit ribosomal RNA", at positions 524 to 776 of the family's 1533-position model. The record is from RNAcentral.